This 261-nucleotide ribosomal RNA is filed under the name uncultured bacterium. Its description in RNAcentral is "partial 16S ribosomal RNA". It matches the Rfam family "Bacterial small subunit ribosomal RNA", at positions 99 to 354 of the family's 1533-position model. The record is from RNAcentral.
CGAACGGGUGAGUAACACGUGGGCAACCUGCCCAAAAGAGGGGGAUAACACUUGGAAACAGGUGCUAAUACCGCAUAACCAUAGUUACCGCAUGGUAACUAUGUAAAAGGUGGCUAUACUACCGCUUUUGGAUGGGCCCGCGGCGCAUUAGCUAGUUGGUAGGGUAAAGGCUUACCAAGGCAAUGAUGCGUAGCCGAAUUGAGAGGUUGAUCGGCCACAUUGGGACUGAGACACGGCCCAAACUCCUACGGAAGGCAGCAG